Molecule: ribosomal RNA, 400 nt
Filed under: uncultured bacterium
Lineage: Bacteria
Description: partial 16S ribosomal RNA
Rfam family: Bacterial small subunit ribosomal RNA
Source: RNAcentral
CCUACGGGAGGCAGCAGUGGGGGAUAUUGCACAAUGGGGGAAACCCUGAUGCAGCGACGCCGCGUGAGUGAAGAAGGAUUUCGGGAUGUAAAGCUCUAUCAGCAGGGAAGAAAAUGACAGUACCUGACCAAGAAGCCACGGCUAACAACGGGCCAGCAGCCGCGGUAAUACGUAGGGGGCAAGCUUUAUCCGGAUUUACUGGGUGGAAAGGGAGCUUCGACGGUUCUGUAAGUCUGGAGUGAAAGCCCGGGGCCCACCCCCGGGACUGCUUUUGAAACUGGGUAACUGGAGUACAGGAGGGGCAGGCGGACUUCCUGUUGUAGCGGUGAAAUGCGUAGAUAUCAGGAGGAACACCGGCGGCGAAGGCGGCCUGCUGGACUGAAACUGACGUUGCGGCUCG